GACCCCGUAGCUCAGCUGGAUAGAGCGGCGGUUUCCUAAACCGUAGGCCGGCGGUUCAAGUCCGCCCGGGGUCG
RNAcentral lists this transfer RNA (74 nucleotides) under Deltaproteobacteria bacterium. RNAcentral's name for it is "tRNA-Arg". It matches the Rfam family "tRNA". From Rfam's summary of the family: Transfer RNA (tRNA) molecules are approximately 80 nucleotides in length. Their secondary structure includes four short double-helical elements and three loops (D, anti-codon, and T loops). Further hydrogen bonds mediate the characteristic L-shaped molecular structure. tRNAs have two regions of fundamental functional importance: the anti-codon, which is responsible for specific mRNA codon recognition, and the 3' end, to which the tRNAs corresponding amino acid is attached (by aminoacyl-tRNA synthetases). tRNAs cope with the degeneracy of the genetic code in two manners: having more than one tRNA (with a specific anti-codon) for a particular amino acid; and 'wobble' base-pairing, i.e. permitting non-standard base-pairing at the 3rd anti-codon position. Lineage: Bacteria; Pseudomonadati; Myxococcota; Myxococcia. RNAcentral also lists the same sequence under 1 other name. The record is from RNAcentral.